UAGAGUCUGGUGUAGAAUUGGUAGCACGAAGAUUUUUGAGUUCUUAGGGUUAGGUUCAAUUCCUAUGACUCUAG
This is a transfer RNA of 74 nucleotides. It matches the Rfam family "tRNA". From Rfam's summary of the family: Transfer RNA (tRNA) molecules are approximately 80 nucleotides in length. Their secondary structure includes four short double-helical elements and three loops (D, anti-codon, and T loops).